CCUACGGGCGGCAGCAGUGAGGAAUAUUGGUCAAUGGGCGCGAGCCUGAACCAGCCAAGUAGCGUGAAGGAUGACUGCCCUACGGGUUGUAAACUUCUUUUAUAAAGGAAUAAAGUGAGGCACGUGUGCCUUUUUGUAUGUACUUUAUGAAUAAGGAUCGGCUAACUCCGUGCCAGCAGCCGAGGUAAUACGGAGGAUCCGAGCGUUAUCCGGAUUUAUUGGGUUUAAAGGGAGCGUAGAUGGUUUGUUAAGUUAGUUGUGAAAGUUUGCGGCUCAACCGUUAAAUUGCAAUUGAUACUGGCAGGCUUGAGUACAGGUGAGGUAGGCGGAAUUCGUGGUGUAGCGGUGAAAUGCUUAGAUAUCACGAAGAACACCGAUUGCGAAGGCAGCUUACUAAACUGCCACUGACGUUGAUGCUCGAAAGUGUGGGUAGCAAACAGGAUUAGAUACCCCUGUAGUC
Molecule: ribosomal RNA, 460 nt
Filed under: uncultured bacterium
Lineage: Bacteria
Description: partial 16S ribosomal RNA
Rfam family: Bacterial small subunit ribosomal RNA
Source: RNAcentral